This 253-nucleotide ribosomal RNA is filed under the name uncultured bacterium. RNAcentral's name for it is "partial 16S ribosomal RNA". It matches the Rfam family "Bacterial small subunit ribosomal RNA", at positions 524 to 776 of the family's 1533-position model. The record is from RNAcentral.
UACGUAGGGCGCAAGCGUUGUCCGGAAUUAUUGGGCGUAAAGAGCUCGUAGGCGGUUUGUCGCGUCUGCUGUGAAAUCCCGAGGCUCAACCUCGGGCUUGCAGUGGGUACGGGCAGACUAGAGUGCGGUAGGGGAGACUGGAAUUCCUGGUGUAGCGGUGGAAUGCGCAGAUAUCAGGAGGAACACCGAUGGCGAAGGCGGUUCUCUGGGCCGGAACUGACGCUGAGGAGCGAAAGCGUGGGGAGCAAACAGG